AUUGAAGCAUCAGUAACAAAUUAUUUUUCAUAUCAAUUUCUAGAAUAUGUUGAACAAGUAAAGAAUGUUCUUUUCAUGUCUAAUAAACAAGAACUUUCAACUAUAAUGGAAAGAUAUAGAGGAAAAGCACCCGAACCUUUGUGCAGCCAGUUUCCCAACAAACGAUCCAAGGCUGAGGCAGUAAAAAAAUAUGUUGCGAGGAACAAGCAUGUCAGUCAUGCACUUUAUCCAUGCUUGGAACAGCAAAGACAUCAGUUACAAGACCUAACAGAUGAUGCAGAUCAAAUAUUAAAUAGCUCUGGGAAUAAAAGUACUCGCAAAUGUACUAAAUGCAAAGCUCCAAUGAAAGGACAUCCUCGAGGUCAAUGCUUCACUGAAAAA
This is a long non-coding RNA of Xenia sp. Carnegie-2017, 381 nucleotides long. RefSeq lists it as uncharacterized. Lineage: Eukaryota; Metazoa; Cnidaria; Anthozoa; Malacalcyonacea; Xeniidae. The transcript is spliced from 2 exons. The record is from RefSeq and is a predicted model, not a curated record.